Molecule: ribosomal RNA, 403 nt
Filed under: bacterium
Lineage: Bacteria
Description: partial 16S ribosomal RNA
Rfam family: Bacterial small subunit ribosomal RNA
Source: RNAcentral
UGGGGAAUAUUGCACAAUGGAGGGAACUCUGAUGCAGCGACGCCGCGUGAACGAAGAAGGCUUUCGAGUCGUAAAGUUCUUUUAUAUGGGAAGAUAAUGACGGUACCAUAAGAAGAAGCCCCGGCUAACUACGUGCCAGCAGCCGCGGUAAUACGUAGGGGGCUAGCGUUGUCCGGAAUCACUGGGCGUAAAGGGUUCGCAGGCGGAAAUGCAAGUCAGGUGUAAAAGGAAGUAGCUUAACUACUGUAAGCAUUUGAAACUGCAUAUCUUGAGAAGAGUAGAGGUAAGUGGAAUUUUUAGUGUAGCGGUGAAAUGCGUAGAUAUUAAAAAGAAUACCGGUGGCGAAGGCGACUUACUGGGCUCAUUCUGACGCUGAGGAACGAAAGCGUGGGUAGCAAACAGG